Molecule: small nucleolar RNA, 104 nt
Organism: Macadamia integrifolia
Lineage: Eukaryota; Viridiplantae; Streptophyta; Magnoliopsida; Proteales; Proteaceae
Product: small nucleolar RNA Z103
Exons: 1
Source: RefSeq, a predicted model, not a curated record
AUGGAGGUGAGGACACUUUCCCCAUAUGAUCGACGCUGAUUCAAACUGUGCUGUUUAUUCGUCUUCAAUUAUUUGGAGAUUUUAAAGCCAGAAUUCUGAUCCUU